This 497-nucleotide ribosomal RNA is filed under the name uncultured bacterium. RNAcentral describes it as "partial 16S ribosomal RNA". It matches the Rfam family "Bacterial small subunit ribosomal RNA", at positions 28 to 507 of the family's 1533-position model. The record is from RNAcentral.
GAUGAACGCUGGCGGCGUGCCUAAUACAUGCAAGUCGAGCGAACGGACGAGAAGAUUGCUUCUCUGCUGUUAGCGGCGGACGGGUGAGUAACACGUGGAUAACCUACCUAUAUGACUGGGAUAACUUCGGGAAACCGGAGAUAAUAACGGCUCAUAUUUUGUACCGCAUGGUUCAAAAGUGCAAGACGGCUUUGCUGUCACUUAUAGACGGAUUCGCGCUGGAUUAGCUAGUUGGUAAGGUAACGGCUUACCAAGGCAACGAUGCGUAGCCGACCUGAGAGGGUGAUCGGCCACACUGGAACUGAGACACGGUCCAGACUCCUACGGGAGGCAGCAGUAGGGAAUCUUCCGCAAUGGGCGAAAGCCUGACGGAGCAACGCCGCGUGAGUGAUGAAGGUCUUCGGGUCGUAAAACUCUGUUAUUAGGGAAGAACAUAUGUGUAAGUAACUGUGCACGUCUUGACGGUACCUAAUCAGAAAGCCACGGCUAACUUCGUG